This 301-nucleotide ribosomal RNA is filed under the name uncultured bacterium. RNAcentral describes it as "partial 16S ribosomal RNA". It matches the Rfam family "Bacterial small subunit ribosomal RNA", at positions 509 to 810 of the family's 1533-position model. The record is from RNAcentral.
CAGCGCCGCGGGAAUACGUAGGUCCCGAGCGUUGUUCGGAUUUAUUGGGCGUAAAGCGAGCGCAGGCGGUUAGAUAAGUCUGAAGUUAAAGGCUGUGGCUUAACCAUAGUACGCUUUGGAAACUGUUUAACUUGAGUGCAAGAGGGGAGAGUGGAAUUCCAUGUGUAGCGGUGAAAUGCGUAGAUAUAUGGAGGAACACCGGUGGCGAAAGCGGCUCUCUGGCUUGUAACUGACGCUGAGGCUCGAAAGCGUGGGGAGCAAACAGGAUUAGAUACCCGGUAGUCCCUGUCUCUUAUACACA